GUCUACUGUUCUAUUUAUUAAUUUGCUUGUUCUGUAGCCUUUUCAUGUUCAUUUGAAACCAUACUAAGAUGUUAUGAAAAUUAGCCCAAUCUUAUGUGAAGUACAAACAAAUGAUGUUUCCAAAAUAGCAAGUUGUAGAUAGCUCAAUACGGCAUAACCAUUCCUAUUAUCAGCUCCAAUACAUGGAUCCUGUUUCAAGAUGACCUUAGACAAGACUAAUAGCGAUAGUUAACCUUUUAGCAAUGCUGUCCAAGAUCUUACCUGACUUGUGUGCUGCUGAUCGAAACCUUCUUUGAUAGUUAAUGAGAACAUGUGAUAUUUUGACAACUGAUAUUGUGCUUGAACUAUUUUGUAAUGGACAUGAAA
RNAcentral lists this long non-coding RNA (366 nucleotides) under Prunus dulcis (almond). Its description in RNAcentral is "sRNA ncRNA". Lineage: Eukaryota; Viridiplantae; Streptophyta; Magnoliopsida; Rosales; Rosaceae. The record is from RNAcentral.